AGAGUUUGAUCCUGGCUCAGAUUGAAUGCUGGCGGUAUGCUUAACACAUGCAAGUCGAACGGAAACGAUACUAGCUUGCUAGUAGGCGUCGAGUGGCGGACGGGUGAGUAACGCGUAGGAAUCUACCUAAUAGUGGGGGAUAGCCCGGAGAAAUCCGGAUUAAUACCGCAUAAUCUCUAUGGAGUAAAGGGGCCCUCUUCUUGAAAGGUUUCGCUAUCAGAUGAGCCUGCGUAAGAUUAGCUAGUUGGUGAGGUAAAAGCUCACCAAGGCGACGAUCUUUAGCUGGUCUGAGAGGAUGAUCAGCCACACUGGGACUGAGACACGGCCCAGACUCCUACGGGAGGCAGCAGUGGGGAAUAUUGGACAAUGGGGGCAACCCUGAUCCAGCAAUACCGCGUGUGUGAAGAAGGCCUGAGGGUUGUAAAGCACUUUCAAUUGUGAAGAAAAGUUAAUAGUUAAUAACUAUUAGCCUUGACGUUAACUUUAGAAGA
This 491-nucleotide ribosomal RNA is filed under the name uncultured marine bacterium. Its description in RNAcentral is "bacterial SSU rRNA". It matches the Rfam family "Bacterial small subunit ribosomal RNA", at positions 8 to 488 of the family's 1533-position model. The record is from RNAcentral.